RNAcentral lists this ribosomal RNA (935 nucleotides) under Parateratosphaeria cf. bellula CPC 18280. RNAcentral's name for it is "eukaryotic LSU rRNA". It matches the Rfam family "Eukaryotic large subunit ribosomal RNA", at positions 1 to 966 of the family's 3401-position model. The record is from RNAcentral. Lineage: Eukaryota; Fungi; Ascomycota; Dothideomycetes; Mycosphaerellales; Teratosphaeriaceae.
GUUGACCUCGGAUCAGGUAGGGAUACCCGCUGAACUUAAGCAUAUCAAUAAGCGGAGGAAAAGAAACCAACAGGGAUUGCCCUAGUAACGGCGAGUGAAGCGGCAACAGCUCAAAUUUGAAAUCUGGCGCAAGCCCGAGUUGUAAUUUGUAGAGGAUGCUUCUGGGCAGCGGCCGGUCUAAGUCCCUUGGAACAGGGCGUCAUAGAGGGUGAGAAUCCCGUAUGCGACCGGCUGGCACCCGUCACGUAGCUCCUUCGACGAGUCGAGUUGUUUGGGAAUGCAGCUCUAAAUGGGAGGUAAAUUCCUUCUAAAGCUAAAUACCGGCCAGUGACCGAUAGCGCACAAGUAGAGUGAUCGAAAGAUGAAAAGCACUUUGGAAAGAGAGUUAAAAAGCACGUGAAAUUGUUGAAAGGGAAGCGCAUGCAACCAGACUUGUCGGCGGUGUUCCGCCGGUCUUCUGACCGGUCUACUCGCCGUCGGCAGGCCAGCAUCAUCUGGGUGCGCCGGAUAAAGGCGUGGGGAAUGUGGCCCCUCGGGGUGUUAUAGCUCCACGCACAAUACGGCGCCGCCCGGGUGAGGUCCGCGCUUCGGCUAGGAUGCUGGCGUAAUGGUUGCCUGCGACCCGUCUUGAAACACGGACCAAGGAGUCUAACAUCUAUGCGAGUGUUCGGGUGUCAAACCCCUACGCGGAAUGAAAGUGAACGGAGGUGGGAACCUUCGGGUGCACCAUCGACCGAUCCUGAUGUCCUCGGAUGGAUUUGAGUAAGAGCAUAGCUGUUGGGACCCGAAAGAUGGUGAACUAUGCCUGAAUAGGGUGAAGCCAGAGGAAACUCUGGUGGAGGCUCGCAGCGGUUCUGACGUGCAAAUCGAUCGUCAAAUUUGGGUAUAGGGGCGAAAGACUAAUCGAACCAUCUAGUAGCUGGUUCCUGCCGAAG